CCCUGAGCCUGCCUGCCGUCCUGUACCUUGGUCUCUGUUCUGGAUGAUCGACCCCUGCCUGACCUGACCCUGAGCCUGCCUGCCGUCCUGUACCUUGGUCUCUGUUCUGGAUGAUCGACCCCUGCCUGACCUGACCCUGAGCCUGCCUGCCGUCCUGUACCUUGGUCUCUGUUCUGGAUGAUCGACCCCUGCCUGACCUGUCGUUUGCCUGCUCCUGUGGUUACAAUAAACAUUAUUACUUUGCAAUACAUUUCAACUCUAUAUCUGACAUGAUACAGGUGUCUUCUGUUGUUAAACCCAUAACCAUGUGUGUGAGGUGGAUACUGUUGUUAAACCCAUAACCAUGUGUGUGAGGUGGAUACUGUUGUUAAACCCAUAACCAUGUGUGUGAGGUGGAUACUGUUGUUAAACCCAUAACCAUGUGUGUGAGGUGGAUACUGUUGUUAAACCCAUAACCAUGUGUGUGAGGUAGAUACUGUUGUUAAACCCAUAACCAUGUGUGUGAGGUGGAUAAUGUUGUUAAACCCAUAACCAUGUGUGUGAGGUGGAUACUGUUGUUAAACCCAUAACCAUGUGUGUGAGGUAGAUACUGUUGUUAAACCCAUAACCAUGUGUGUGAGGUGGAUACUGUUGUUAAACCCAUAACCAUGUGUGUGAGGUGGAUACUGUUGUUAAACCCAUAACCAUGUGUGUGAGGUAGAUACUGUUGUUAAACCCAUAACCAUGUGUGUGAGGUGGAUAAUGUUGUUAAACCCAUAACCAUGUGUGUGAGGUGGAUAUUUUGUUACAAAGUAGAUUUGUUUAAGACGACCAAGAAAGAGUCUGUGUGACCCUGGUUUAGCCCACUGCAGUAAAAGGUUAAUAAAGACGGUGGAAAGAUGCUCACAUCUCAACAUGAACAACCUCAAAUGUAAUAUCUGAAAGCAACUUUCUGUUUCCCAAAGAAUUCAACCUCAACUUUGUAGGAGACCGGACACUGAACCACUGUGAUCACCUCUAGAGCCUGUCCCUCAGCUUUGUAGGAGACUGGACACUGAACCACUGUGAUCACCUCUAGAGCCUGUCCCUCAGCUUUGUAGGAGACCGGACACUGAACCACUGUGAUCACCUCUAGAGCUUGUCCCUCAGCUUUGUAUGAGACCGGACACUGAACCACUGUGAUCACCUCUAGAGCCUGUCCCUCAGCUUUGUAGGAGACCGGACACUGCACCACUGUGAUCACCUCUAGAGCUUGUCCCUCAGCUUUGUAGGAGACUGGACACUGAACCACUGUGAUCACCUCUAGAGCCUGUCCCUCAGCUUUGUAGGAGACCGGACACUGAACCACUGUGAUCACCUCUAGAGCCUGUCCCUCAGCUUUGUAGGAGACCGGACUCUGAACCUCUGUGAUCACCUCUAGAGCCUGUCCCUCAGCUUUGCUAACUUAACAGUUCUGUUCUAGUACAGAGGUGGGGACCCUCACCAUAGACAGAGCUCAGACUGAGGCCCUCUGAAUGAUUCUGACAACAACAGUAUGGAUUAAGUGAAACACUUGUUCAGCAAAACUAUGAAUGAACGCUCAGGAAACCCCUGUUGAGUGAACUUGAAUAACAUCCAUUCAUUCAACUUGAAUGUGUCUGCGGAUAGGACCACUAUACAGAACCAGGCCUGACAGGGGUGUUAAAUGACCACUAUACAGAACCAGGCCUGACAGGGGUGUUAAAUUACCACUAUACAGAACCAGGCCUGACAGGGAUGUUAAAUGACCACUAUACAGAACCAGGCCUGACAGGGGUGUUAAAUUACCACUAUACAGAACCAGGCCUGACAGGGGUGUUAAAUUACCACUAUACAGAACCAGGCCUGACAGGGGUGUUACAUUACCACUAUACAGAACCAGGCCUGACAGGGGUGUUAAAUUACCACCAUACAGAACCAGGCCUGACAGGGGUCAACAGGGCUGUGUUAAAUGACUACUAUAUAGAACCAGGCCUGACAGGGGUCAACAGGGCUGUGUUAAAUGACUACUAUACAGAACCAGGCCUGACAGGGGUGUUAAAUGACCACUAUACAGAACCAGGCCUGACAGGGGUGUGUUAAAUUACUACUAUACAGAACCAGGCCUGACAGGGGUGUGUUAAAUGACCACUAUACAGAACCAGGCCUGACAGGGCUGUGUUAAAUGACUACUAUACAGAACCAGGCCUGACAGGGCUGUGUUAAAUGACUACCAUACAGAACCAGGCCUGACAGGGGUCAACAGGGCUGUGUUAAAUGACUACCAUACAGAACCAGGCCUGACAGGGGUCAACAGGGCUGUGUUAAAUGACUACUAUACAGAACCAGGCCUGACAGGGGUCAACAGGGCUGUGUUAAAUGACUACCAUACAGAACCAGGCCUGACAGGGGUCAACAGGGCUGUGUUAAAUGACUACUAUACAGAACCAGGCCUGACAGGGGUCAACAGGGCUGUGUUAAAUGACUACCAUACAGAACCAGGCCUGACAGGGGUCAACAGGGCUGUGUUAAAUGACUACCAUACAGAACCAGGCCUGACAGGGGUCAACAGGGCUGUGUUAAAUGACUACCAUACAGAACCAGGCCUGACAGGGGUCAACAGGGCUGUGUUAAAUGACUACCAUACAGAACCAGGCCUGACAGGGGUCAACAGGGCUGUGUUAAAUGACUACUAUACAGAACCAGGCCUGACAGGGCUGUGUUAAAUGACUACCAUACAGAACCAGGCCUGACAGGGGUCAACAGGGCUGUGUUAAAUGACUACCAUACAGAACCAGGCCUGACAGGGGUCAACAGGGCUGUGUUAAAUGACUACCAUACAGAACCAGGCCUGACAGGGGUCAACAGGGCUGUGUUAAAUGACUACUAUACAGAACCAGGCCUGACAGGGGUCAACAGGGCUGUGUUAAAUGACUACUAUACAGAACCAGGCCUGACAGGGCUGUGUUAAAUGACUACCAUACAGAACCAGGCCUGACAGGGGUCAACAGGGCUGUGUUAAAUGACUACCAUACAGAACCAGGCCUGACAGGGGUCAACAGGGCUGUGUUAAAUGACUACUAUACAGAACCAGGCCUGACAGGGCUGUGUUAAAUGACUACCAUACAGAACCAGGCCUGACAGGGGUCAACAGGGCUGUGUUAAAUGACUACCAUACAGAACCAGGCCUGACAGGGGUCAACAGGGCUGUGUUAAAUGACUACUAUACAGAACCAGGCCUGACAGGGGUCAACGGGGCUGUGUUAAAUGACUACUAUACAGAACCAGGCCUGACAGGGGUCAACGGGGCUGUGUUAAAUGACUACUAUACAGAACCAGGCCUGACAGGGCUGUGUUAAAUGACUACUAUACAGAACCAGGCCUGACAGGGGUCAACAGGGCUGUGUUAAAUGACUACUAUACAGAACCAGGCCUGACAGGGGUCAACAGGGCUGUGUUAAAUGACUACUAUACAGAACCAGGCCUGACAGGGGUGUUAAAUGACUACUAUACAGAACCAGGCCUGACAGGGGUGUUAAAUGACCACUAUACAGAACCAGGCCUGACAGGGCUGUGUUAAAUGACUACUAUACAGAACCAGGCCUGACAGGGGUCAACAGGGCUGUGUUAAAGGGGCAAUCAGCAGAUGCUACAUCCACUUUUGGACUCAGAAAUGAAUGAUAUGUACCCAUUGAUUCUUGAAGAAUGUAACUUAUAAAUGCCUCAUGAGCUCAGUUUAACUGUCGUACCCCAUCAGAACCCAAAAUAUAAGCCUGUUUUACUACACUGUUUGUAAACCAAGCACAUUUAAAUAACCACUAUAUAGCCUGGUUAAAUGUAAGCCCUUGCAUGGCUUUAAACAGUGGUUCUGAAAGAAGACCUAUGAAGUAACAACUGGUGUGGCAUAUCUUGUUUUAUUACAUAGGAACAAUGAACCUGCGUUUUUAUCAUAAAUGUCAA
Long non-coding RNA from Oncorhynchus keta (chum salmon), 3936 nucleotides. RefSeq lists it as uncharacterized. NCBI's taxonomy places the organism in Eukaryota, Metazoa, Chordata, Actinopteri, Salmoniformes, Salmonidae. The record is from RefSeq and is a predicted model, not a curated record. The transcript is spliced from 3 exons.